GAUGAACGCUGGCGGCGUGCCUAAUACAUGCAAGUCGAACGAAACUUCUUUAUCACCGAGUGCUUGCACUCACCGAUAAAGAGUUGAGUGGCGAACGGGUGAGUAGCACGUGGGCAACCUGCCCAAAAGAGGGGGAUAACACUUGGAAACAGGUGCUAAUACCGCAUAACCAUAGUUACCGCAUGGUAACUAUGUAAAAGGUGGCUAUACUACCGCUUUUGGAUGGGCCCGCGGCGCAUUAGCUAGUUGGUAGGGUAAAGGCUUACCAAGGCAAUGAUGCGUAGCCGAAUUGAGAGGUUGAUCGGCCACAUUGGGACUGAGACACGGCCCAAACUCCUACGGGAGGCAGCAGUAGGGAAUCUUCCACAAUGGGCGAAAGCCUGAUGGAGCAACGCCGCGUGGGUGAAGAAGGUCUUCGGAUCGUAAAACCCUGUUGUUAGAGAAGAAAGUGCGUGAGAGUAACUGUUCACGUUUCGACGGUAUCUAACCGGAAAGCCACGGCUAACUACGUG
Molecule: ribosomal RNA, 512 nt
Filed under: uncultured bacterium
Lineage: Bacteria
Description: partial 16S ribosomal RNA
Rfam family: Bacterial small subunit ribosomal RNA
Source: RNAcentral